AAAUUGAAGAGUUUGAUCAUGGCUCAGAUUGAACGCUGGCGGCAGGCCUAACACAUGCAAGUCGAACGGUAACAGAGAUCAG
Molecule: ribosomal RNA, 82 nt
Filed under: Escherichia coli
Lineage: Bacteria; Pseudomonadati; Pseudomonadota; Gammaproteobacteria; Enterobacterales; Enterobacteriaceae
Description: partial 16S ribosomal RNA
Rfam family: Bacterial small subunit ribosomal RNA
Source: RNAcentral